ACGCUAGCUACAGGCUUAACACAUGCAAGUCGAGGGGCAGCAUUUUAGUUUGCUUGCAAACUAAAGAUGGCGACCGGCGCACGGGUGAGUAACACGUAUCCAACCUGCCGAUAACUCGGGGAUAGCCUUUCGAAAGAAAGAUUAAUAUCCGAUAGUAUAUUAAAACCGCAUGGUUUUACUAUUAAAGAAUUUCGGUUAUCGAUGGGGAUGCGUUCCAUUAGUUUGUUGGCGGGGUAACGGCCCACCAAGACUACGAUGGAUAGGGGUUCUGAGAGGAAGGUCCCCCACAUUGGAACUGAGACGCGGUCCAAACUCCUACGGGAGGCAGCAGUGAGGAAUAUUGGUCAAUGGACGAGAGUCUGAACCAGCCAAGUAGCGUGAAGGAUGACUGCCCUAUGGGUUGUAAACUUCUUUUAUAUGGGAAUAAAGUAUUCCACGUGUGGAAUUUUGUAUGUACCAUAUGAAUAAGGAUCGGCUAACUCCGUGCCAGCAGCCGCGGUAAUACGGAGGAUCCGAGCGUUAUCCGGAUUUAUUGGGUUUAAAGGGAGCGUAGGUGGAUUGUUAAGUCAGUUGUGAAAGUUUGCGGCUCAACCGUAAAAUUGCAGUUGAAACUGGCAGUCUUGAGUACAGUAGAGGUGGGCGGAAUUCGUGGUGUAGCGGUGAAAUGCUUAGAUAUCACGAAGAACUCCGAUUGCGAAGGCAGCUCACUAGACUGCAACUGACACUGAUGCUCGAAAGUGUGGGUAUCAAACAGGAUUAGAUACCCUGGUAGUCCACACAGUAAACGAUGAAUACUCGCUGUUUGCGAUAUACAGUAAGCGGCCAAGCGAAAGCAUUAAGUAUUCCACCUGGGGAGUACGCCGGCAACGGUGAAACUCAAAGGAAUUGACGGGGGCCCGCACAAGCGGAGGAACAUGUGGUUUAAUUCGAUGAUACGCGAGGAACCUUACCCGGGCUUAAAUUGCAUUUGAAUAAUCUGGAAACAGGUUAGCCGCAAGGCAAAUGUGAAGGUGCUGCAUGGUUGUCGUCAGCUCGUGCCGUGAGGUGUCGGCUUAAGUGCCAUAACGAGCGCAACCCUUAUCUUUAGUUACUAACAGGUCAUGCUGAGGACUCUAGAGAGACUGCCGUCGUAAGAUGUGAGGAAGGUGGGGAUGACGUCAAAUCAGCACGGCCCUUACGUCCGGGGCUACACACGUGUUACAAUGGGGGGUACAGAAGGCAGCUACCUGGUGACAGGAUGCUAAUCCCAAAAACCUCUCUCAGUUCGGAUCGAAGUCUGCAACCCGACUUCGUGAAGCUGGAUUCGCUAGUAAUCGCGCAUCAGCCAUGGCGCGGUGAAUACGUUCCCGGGCCUUGUACACACCGCCCGUCAAGCCAUGAAAGCCGGGGGUACAUGAAGUACGUAACCGCAAGGAGCGUCCUAGGGUAAAACUG
RNAcentral lists this ribosomal RNA (1434 nucleotides) under uncultured organism. RNAcentral describes it as "SSU rRNA". It matches the Rfam family "Bacterial small subunit ribosomal RNA". The record is from RNAcentral.